GACGAACGCUGGCUGCGUGCUUAACACAUGCAAGUCGAACGGAAAGGCCCUGCUUUUGUGUGGUGCUCGAGUGGCGAACGGGUGCGUAACACGUGAGUAACCUGCCCUUGACUUUGGGAUAACUUCAGGAAACUGGGGCUAAUACCGGAUAGGAGCUCCUGCUGCAUGGUGGGGGUUGGAAAGUUUCGGCGGUUGGGGAUGGACUCGCGGCUUAUCAGCUUGUUGGUGGGGUAGUGGCUUACCAAGGAUUUGACGGGUAGCCGGCCUGAGAGGGUGACCGGCCACAUUGGGACUGAGAUACGGCCCAGACUCCUACGGGAGGCAGAAGUGGGGAAUAAUGCACAAUGGGCGGAAGACUGAUGCAGCAACGCCGAGUGCGGGAUGACGGCCUUCGGGUUGUAAACCGCUUUCGCCUGUGACGAAGCGUGAGUGACGGUAAUGGGUAAAGAAGCACCGGCUAACUACGUG
This 468-nucleotide ribosomal RNA is filed under the name uncultured bacterium. RNAcentral describes it as "partial 16S ribosomal RNA". It matches the Rfam family "Bacterial small subunit ribosomal RNA", at positions 28 to 507 of the family's 1533-position model. The record is from RNAcentral.